Molecule: long non-coding RNA, 303 nt
Filed under: Bos taurus (domestic cattle)
Lineage: Eukaryota; Metazoa; Chordata; Mammalia; Artiodactyla; Bovidae
Description: long non-coding RNA NONBTAT009360
Source: RNAcentral
GUUAGUGGUCCAAGUGUGGAGGUUGGCAGGGCCACAACCACCCAUCCACAGGAGGAGCACAUGCAGGCAGGAUCCAGAGUUCAAAGGAUGUCACCACUGGUGGGCUUCUCCCCUCCCAGAAAACCAGCCUCUCCCUGUUAACUCCACACAUGAAGCAAGUACGGGAGGAAGAGGUACAGGUUCCCAGCUGUGUCUCCUGCCCCAUCCCCUUUCGUGGGGAGCGGAAGCUCCCCAAACAUGUUCUGAGAACAUUUCUAACUGAUGGCUUUAGGGUAACAUGAACAAGAGGGCUGCUAAGACCUU